RNAcentral lists this ribosomal RNA (800 nucleotides) under uncultured crenarchaeote. RNAcentral describes it as "bacterial SSU rRNA". It matches the Rfam family "Archaeal small subunit ribosomal RNA", at positions 1 to 809 of the family's 1478-position model. Lineage: Archaea; Thermoproteati; Thermoproteota. The record is from RNAcentral.
UUCCGGUUGAUCCUGCCGGACCUGACUGCUAUCGGAUUGAUACUAAGCCAUGCGAGUUUUUGUAGCAAUACAAGGCAUACGGCUCAGUAACACGUAGUCAAUCUAACCUAUGGACGAGGAUAACCUCGGGAAACUGAGAAUAAUACUCGAUAGAUCAUUAUGCCUGGAACGGUUUAUGGUUAAAAUGAAUUUCGCCAUAGGAUGGGACUGCGGUCUAUCAGCUUGUUGGUGAUGUAAUGGACCACCAAGGCUAUAACAGAUACGGGCUCUGAGAGGAGAAGCCCGGAGAUGGGUACUGAGACACGGACCCAGGCCCUAUGGGGCGCAGCAGGCGAGAAACCUUUGCAAUGUGCGCAAGCACGACAAGGUUAAUCCGAGUGUUUCCUGCUAAAGGAAUCUUUUGCUAGUCCUAAAAACACUAAUGAAUAAGGGGUGGGCAAGUUCUGGUGUCAGCCGCCGCGGUAAAACCAGCACCUCAAGUUGUCAGGAGGAUUAUUGGGCCUAAAGCAUCCGUAGCCUGCUCUGUAAGUUUCCGGUUAAAUCCAUUAGCUCAACUAAUGGGCUACCGGAAAAACUGCAAAGCUAGGAAGUGGGAGAGGUAGACGGUACUCAGUAGGAAGGGGUAAAAUCCUUUGAUCUAUUGAAGACCACCUGUGGCGAAGGCGGUCUACCAGAACACGUUCGACGGUGAGGGAUGAAAGCUGGGGGAGCAAACCGGAUUAGAUACCCGGGUAGUCCCAGCUGUAAACGAUGCAGACUCGGUGAUGCGCUGGCUUGUGGCCAGUGCAGUGCCGCAGGGA